This 86-nucleotide microRNA precursor is filed under the name Solanum tuberosum (potato). Its description in RNAcentral is "MIR8024 microRNA precursor family". It matches the Rfam family "MIR8024 microRNA precursor family". The record is from Rfam by way of RNAcentral. Lineage: Eukaryota; Viridiplantae; Streptophyta; Magnoliopsida; Solanales; Solanaceae.
UUGAAGAAUUUGAAGGCUUCAAUUUGCAGACUAGAAGAAUUGGAAGGCUUCAACUUGCAGACUUGACAAAUUUAAAGACUUUAACU